This 253-nucleotide ribosomal RNA is filed under the name uncultured bacterium. RNAcentral's name for it is "partial 16S ribosomal RNA". It matches the Rfam family "Bacterial small subunit ribosomal RNA", at positions 524 to 776 of the family's 1533-position model. The record is from RNAcentral.
GACGUAGGAUGCAAGCGUUGUCCGGAUUUAUUGGGCGUAAAGAGUUCGUAGGCGGUUCGUUAAGUCUGAUGUUAAAGACUGGGGCUCAACCCUGGGAGUGCAUUGGAUACUGGCGGACUGGAGUGCAGUAGAGGCAAGCGGAAUUCCAGGUGUAGCGGUGAAAUGCGUAGAUAUCUGGAAGAACACCGGUGGCGCAAGCGGCUUGCUGGGCUGUAACUGACGCUGAUGUGCGAAAGCUAGGGGAGCGGACGGG